AUUUAGGAAAUGUUUACUAAACUCAAUUCGUCAUUUGAAGCCUUAACCUGACCCAGAUGAAUCUGAUAUUCUUUUCUUCUCUGUCAGUGUGUUGGCCUUUUCCUGAUGGCUGGCAGUGAUACAGUCUGAGGUUCUUCCCUGGAGGUGCCCAGACCCCUUACUGAAGAGGAGGCAUUGGGAUUUUUCAUGAUCGCAUGCAUCAGGUAGGGUUCUUUGCAGGUACCCAAAAAGGACUCUGGCUAAGUUAAGCAAGAAGGGAAUUUAUUGGAAGGAAACAGACUAGCUCACAGAUUCCAAGGACCUCCUGAGAAACCUCACAUGAAAAGGGGACCAGGGAUCCAGAGAGCAGGGAUUGAUCUCACCACAUCUCGCUGGGCUAAACCAGCUCCACCUUUGAUUCUGUUCUUAUAUCUCUCCCUUUAGGAUUCAACUCUUGAGUCUUAUUGGCCUAGCUUGGACCUUGUGCCUCUCCUCUGGCUAAGAAUUCGGGGAAAAACUAGCCACUAUAGGGGAGAGGUAAUUUUCCAAAAGCAAAUCAAACUGCUUUUGCCAUAAGAGGGAGGAAGUGAAUGCUGAAUGUCUAAAAAGCCCCCCAGCGCACUACAGUAUGUAAAUCACAUGUUUAGCCUCCUGGGAGGGGCCUCUGGCUCUCUGGCUUUGCUUUUUUCCAACUCAGAAACAAGACAGUAUUUUCUCCCAUCUCCUUUUUCUAUCUCAUCUACAGAGCAUUAGUAAGCAAUGUACAUUUAGCUGAAGAUUUUGUGGGGAGAGGGUGAAAAGGGUUGAUGUUGAACAUCACAGCAAAAGUGACCCCUCACUGGAGAGCAGGGACUGUCUGUCCGGUUCCCCAUGUCAUCCCCAAUACCUAGCUCAAAGCUUGGCACACAUUGGCUUUUUGAGAUAAAUAUUUGUCAAUUCUUUUUAGCUAUCAACUGGCUUCCUCCCUUUCUCUCCAUCUUCCCCCACGUGGCCUUUCCAAUCCCCUUUAAUGUCUUGGUCGAUUUAAUUCUGGCCCCAAAUCUCUACAUUCAGCAAAACAAAAGCCUUGCAGUUAAUCAGACCUACCCACCUUAGAAAGCCUCAUCAAAGAUAUUCACUGGAUACAAAGCAAGACUCUAAGUCAGGGAAGCAGGUGAUUCUGCUAAAAAAAAAAAAAAUUCUAGCAUUCUCCCUGUAGUGGGUUAAAUGGGGGGUGCCAAAUGAUAUGUACAUGUCCUAAUCCCAGAAACUAUAAAUGUGACUCUUUGGAAAAAAGGAUCUUUGCAGAUGUAGUUAAGGAUCUUGAGAUGAAGAGGUCAUCCUGGAUUAUCUGGUGGACUCUGAAUCCAGUGACAAGUGUCCUCUUAGAGACAUGCGGAAGCUUAGACAGAAGAUAAGAAAACGCAGACACACAGAGGCAGAGAUUAGAGUGAUGGAGACACUAGCCAAGCAAACCAAGGAACUCCUGGAGUCACCGGAAGCUGGAAGAGGCAAAGAACAGAAUCUUCCCAACAACUUUUGGAGGAAGUGUGGUCCUGCUGACACCUUGAUCUCAGACUUUUGGCCUCCAGAACUCUAAGAGAAUAAAUUUCUAUUGUUUUA
Long non-coding RNA from Galeopterus variegatus (Sunda flying lemur), 1581 nucleotides. RefSeq lists it as uncharacterized. The record is from RefSeq and is a predicted model, not a curated record. NCBI's taxonomy places the organism in Eukaryota, Metazoa, Chordata, Mammalia, Dermoptera, Cynocephalidae. The transcript has 2 exons.